UGCCGGGCCGGGGGGCGGCGGAGGGCUGAGGGCCCGGCAGCGAGCGGGGAGGAGCAGCUGAGCAGUGCAGCUCUGUAGGAUGCUUCGCCAUGCCCUAGGAAAAACCUUCCGCUUCCUGGGCUACACGGUGCAGUAUGGCUGCAUAGCACACUGUGCCUUUGAGUACCUCGGAGGGAUUGUUGUGUGUUCUGGACCUUCAAUGGAACCAACCAUUCAAAACUCUGAUAUUGUCUUUUCGGAGAGCCUCAGCCGCCACUUUUAUUGCAUUCGAAAAGGAGAUAUUGUAAUUGUGAAAAGCCCAAAUGACCCCAAAUCAAAUAUCUGUAAAAGAGUAAUUGGCUUGGAAGGGGAUAAAGUCUGCACAAGCAACCCUUCAGAUUUCCUUAAGAGUCACAGCUAUAAUGAGAAGAAUGAGCAUGUGGCAAAGUCCUGUGCUGUGAAGGUGGAGAAUUUUAUGGAACACUCUUUACAGGCAGCUACAGUGUGUGACCCAUAAAUCCUUUAAGAGUUUAGCUUCCAUAGAGGCAGCCACCUUCACCAGGGAGCCUCCAGAUGGCAGCCUUUAUAAGAACAACAUUUAUGAUAAAGCUACAGAAACAGUGCCUGGAGCAACUGGAUCAUUAAAAAAAAGUAUUUGUUAAGCAUUAUUCAGUCUUGGUUCUGAAUUAAUAAAUAAAGGAUUAAGGAGUAGCUAUGUAAGACUUUAAAGUAUAGAGUGAUAAAACAAACUCCUGCAUUUCUAUGGUGUAUAUUUUAUCCUAACUAGAUGCAAUUUACUUAAAUAAGGCAAUUUAAUCAGUAUUUAGUAAAUUUGUCAUUUGAUAUUGUAGAAUCUUUCAUCAUAUUUCACUUUAAUCAAGAAAGGUAACACCUGUGGUUUAUUCACAAAAGCUGCUUUUGUUAAAUGAACACCCGCAGGCCAUGAAGCAAUUACAUUUGUUGCUUGUACCAAAGUAGGAGCCACUUAAAGAGACCUUAGUGGGGAUAGAUGAGAACUUGCAGACUUUAUUCUUUUGUCCAGCACUGAGAUUAGUUCUUAUCAUAGCUCAAGAAGGAAGCCUCUGAACUGAAAAGAAAAGAUGGGAAUGAUUUAAAGUUCUUCUUAAGUUUGAAACUUUGAUAUUGCUGGAGGUGAUGUGAAUACCUGUGACCUUACCAAAGUUCAAACAUCUACUCCCAGCUGAUUGUACAUGCUGAUGUUUUUCGAGAUUUAUAAGUCCAUUAAAAUCACUAGCAAAAGCUCUCUCAAAACAAAAAGCCAAACCAAAGAAGCCUGUUUUCAUUUUGUUGGGUUUGGGGUUUUUGUUGAGGCAGAUAAUUUAGUCUGUUAGCUUAAUUUGCAAUACAUUAAUUUCCUAAUAUGUCAGUUAAUGCAGCACAGGGCUCUUAUCUCUUGGGUUUGAAGAUAAUUGAGUAAUCAAAGAAAAAAGUUUAGCAUCAUGUGAAGAGACCAAAAGAAUACAAUUAUUUGAUUCCCCCU
This is an RNA transcript of Oenanthe melanoleuca, 1480 nucleotides long. It is a transcript of the gene named inner mitochondrial membrane peptidase subunit 1, with no coding region annotated. The record is from RefSeq and is a predicted model, not a curated record. The transcript is spliced from 6 exons. Lineage: Eukaryota; Metazoa; Chordata; Aves; Passeriformes; Muscicapidae.